RNAcentral lists this ribosomal RNA (429 nucleotides) under Bacteroidota bacterium. Its description in RNAcentral is "Bacteroidetes bacterium partial 16S ribosomal RNA". It matches the Rfam family "Bacterial small subunit ribosomal RNA", at positions 355 to 776 of the family's 1533-position model. Lineage: Bacteria; Pseudomonadati; Bacteroidota. The record is from RNAcentral.
UAGGGAAUCUUCGGCAAUGGGGGGAACCCUGACCGAGCAACGCCGCGUGAGUGAAGAAGGUUUUCGGAUCGUAAAGCUCUGUUGUUAAGGAAGAACGAGUGUGAGAAUGGAAAGUUCAUACUGUGACGGUACUUAACCAGAAAGGGACGGCUAACUACGUGCCAGCAGCCGCGGUAAUACGUAGGUCCCGAGCGUUGUCCGGAUUUAUUGGGCGUAAAGCGAGCGCAGGCGGUUAGAUAAGUCUGAAGUUAAAGGCAGUGGCCCAACCAUUGUAGGCUUUGGAAACUGUUUAACUUGAGUGCAGAAGGGGAGAGUGGAAUUCCAUGUGUAGCGGUGAAAUGCGUAGAUAUAUGGAGGAACACCGGUGGCGAAAGCGGCUCUCUGGUCUGUAACUGACGCUGAGGCUCGAAAGCGUGGGGAGCGAACAGG